GGGGGAUAAAUUAAUAAAGUAUAAAUAAUAAAAAAAUUUUUAAUAUUAAAAUAGUUUAAUGGGGGUUAAAGUAUAUUUAAUAGAAAAAAUUAAAAAAUUUAUAGUAAAUUAGUAUUGUAAAAGAAAUUUGAAAUAUAUUGAAAAUAAAUUUAUUUAAAAGUAAAUUUAAUUUAUUGUAUCUUGUGUAUCAGAGUUUAUUAAUAAUAUUUUUUAUUUAAAAAUUUUCUCGAAUUUAAAAGAGAUAAUUGAUUAUUAAAGUUAAUGUUGAAUAAUUAUUUUGAAUAAUUGAUUUGAAAUGAAAUGUUAAUCGUUUUUAAAUAUAUCUAGUUUUUUUAGAAAAAAAUUUAAUUUUAAAUUUUAAAAAAUAUAAUUUUAAUUAAUUAAAAUUAUAUUUUUAAAAUUAAAUAUUUUAAGGGAUAAGCUUUAAAAUAAAUUUUUAUAAUAAAUUUUUAUAAUAAUUAAAAUUUUUAAAAUUUGUAUUGUUUAUAAAUUUUAAUUUUUUAUAAAUAAUUUUAAUUAAAUUAAAAUUUAAAAUUUAUUUAAGUAUUUAUAGAAAAAUAUUUUAUAAUAAUUUAAAUUUAGAUAUAAUGAUAAAAUUAGUAUAUAAUUAAAUAAAAAUGAUUUAUUUUUUGAUAAUUUAAUAAAAGGAAUUCGGCAAAAAUUUAUAUUCACUUGUUUAUCAAAAACAUGUCUUUUUGAUUAAUAAUUUAAAGUCUAAUCUGCCCACUGAUAUUAUAUUAAAGGGCUGCAGUAUUUUGACUGUACAAAGGUAGCAUAAUCAUUAGUCUCUUAAUUGGUGACUUGUAUGAAAGAUUUGAUGAGAUAUAUACUGUCUCUUUUUAAUUUAUAAAAUUUAAUUUUUUAGUUAAAAAGCUAAAAUAUAUUUAAAAGACGAGAAGACCCUAUAGAGUUUUAUAUUUAUAUAAAUUAGAAUUUUUUAUAAGAUUUAAAAUUUUAAUAUGUUUAAAUAUUGUGUUGGGGUGAUAAAAAAAUUUGAAUAACUUUUUUUAUAAAUUAACAUUUAUAAAUGAAUAAAUGAUCCGUAAUUUACGAUUAUAAGAAAAAAUUACCUUAGGGAUAACAGCGUAAUUUUUUUUUUUAGUUCAAAUAAGAAUAAAAGUUUGCGACCUCGAUGUUGGAUUAAGAUAAAAUUUAAAUGCAAAAGUUUAAAAUUUUUGAUCUGUUCGAUCAUUAAAAUCUUACAUGAUCUGAGUUCAAACCGGUGUAAGCCAGGUUGGUUUCUAUCUUUAAAUUUAUAAAAUAUUUUAGUACGAAAGGAUCAAAUAUUAAAAAUAAUUUUAUAUAAUAAGAAUUUUAAUAAUAGUAGGUUAAAUAU
This 1336-nucleotide ribosomal RNA is filed under the name Parnassius choui. Its description in RNAcentral is "16S ribosomal RNA". The stretch from base 1077 to 1236 matches the Rfam family "Eukaryotic large subunit ribosomal RNA", at positions 2825 to 2984 of the family's 3401-position model. The record is from RNAcentral. Lineage: Eukaryota; Metazoa; Arthropoda; Insecta; Lepidoptera; Papilionidae.